UAGGGAAUAUUGCACAAUGGGCGAAAGCCUGAUGCAGCAACGCCGCGUGUGCGAUGAAGGCCUUCGGGUCGUAAAGCACUUUUCUGGGAGAUGAGAAAGGACAGUAUCCCAGGAAUAAGUCUCGGCUAACUACGUGCCAGCAGCCGCGGUAAAACGUAGGAGGCGAGCGUUAUCCGGAUUCACUGGGUGUAAAGCGCGUGCAGGCGGUUCGGUAAGUUGGGCGUGAAAUCUCCUGGCUCAACUAGGAGAGGUCGUCCAAAACUACCGGGCUUGAGAGCGGUAGAGGAAGAUGGAAUUCCCGGUGUAGUGGUGAAAUGCGUAGAUAUCGGGAGGAACACCAGUGGCGAAGGCGAUCUUCUGGACCGUUUCUGACGCUCAGACGCGACAGCUAGGGUAGCAAACGGG
This 405-nucleotide ribosomal RNA is filed under the name bacterium. RNAcentral's name for it is "partial 16S ribosomal RNA". It matches the Rfam family "Bacterial small subunit ribosomal RNA", at positions 355 to 776 of the family's 1533-position model. The record is from RNAcentral.